GCUGUCCUCUCCAUCUUUGGGACCAGCCUUUCCUACUGCCACAAAUCCAGCCUGUGCACACUCUGUUCCUUCUCCUGGGAUGCUCUUCCACCCCUGUCCCCAAUGAAUCUCAGACAUCCUUGGUUGUCAGCUAAAGAUGACUUACUGGGAUGACCCCUGAUCCUCUGACCAGGCCAUCCCUGGAGGACAGUGCUUCGUGUCUUGCUCUCUCAUCUGUGCUUAGCAAAGACACACUGUUUGAUGCUAAGCUGAAAACUUGGGAUGGGUGUAGCUUGACACUACAUACAUAAUGCUCAGCUCAGCAUGGCAUGACCGGGUAUGACCAAGCCGUGUGCCAGUCAUGCCAGCAGUUAUCAAUGUGCAGACAGGAGGGCCAGAAGUUCAAAGUUAUCCUUGACUUUAUAGUUCAAGGCUAGCCUGGCCUACAUGAGACCGUGUCUCAAACCAACCAACCAACCAACCAAUCAAACAAGGAUCAGGAGCUGUGCUAGGACAAGGCUGUGAAUUUGUGAGGCAGAAUCUACAAGCAAUGAGUGGAGAGCCCAUGCAGCUAAGAAAUCUGUUCCAUGCCCCACAGCUUAUGACUGUGGGACUCUGUGGACAUGAAACCUGGCUUGUAACUUCACACCUUCAUUGGGGUAGCAAGCUGGUCUGAAGCUCAAGACCACAUGAAGCCCUACAGAGUCUGCUUCUCCCUGCUUCCUGUUCCUCUACGUCGCUGGCUCUUUUCACAUCCCUCUUCGGAGCCUCCGGACCCUCUGUGCCCCAACUGCCUCCCACGCCCAUCCCUGCCCUCUUCUGCUUUGGUCCUUGCUCCAGACUGCUGCGCCAUCCUCAGAUUCUACUGCCUGCACUGGGAGGAGUCAGGUUUAUGGCAGAGCAUGUGUGUUGCUGAGAAGCCUCUCUGAUUCACGUUGGAUAUAGCACGAAGGUGUACAAGGAGAAGUGUCUGUCUGUGUGUCCAGCAUCCUGCAAAGGCCCAAGCACCGCAGCAAAGCAAAGAGCUCCAGGCACCCCAGUUUCAUUUCAUUUCCUCCAAAGCCCCUGGGAAUUCUUCUGAGCUCCCGGGGUUGCUGGUGAGCAGAAUCAGACUGGGAAAAGCCAUGCCAGGGGCUCAGCCGAGGGGUGUGAUCCUUGUGCCAAGAUCUCCAGUUUCGUGUUUUGUUUCUUCUGAAACACGCUCUGACCUGUAUAAUUUGAUGUUACUCACAUCUAAAUGCUAAUAAAACAACUGAAAUAUUUGCA
This 1245-nucleotide long non-coding RNA is filed under the name Mus spicilegus (steppe mouse). RNAcentral describes it as "lncRNA (ENSMSIG00000026774.1)". The record is from RNAcentral. Lineage: Eukaryota; Metazoa; Chordata; Mammalia; Rodentia; Muridae.